RNAcentral lists this ribosomal RNA (497 nucleotides) under uncultured bacterium. RNAcentral describes it as "partial 16S ribosomal RNA". It matches the Rfam family "Bacterial small subunit ribosomal RNA", at positions 28 to 507 of the family's 1533-position model. The record is from RNAcentral.
GAUGAACGCUGGCGGCGUGCCUAAUACAUGCAAGUCGAGCGAACAGAUGAGGAGCUUGCUCCUCUGACGUUAGCGGCGGACGGGUGAGUAACACGUGGAUAACCUCCCUAUAAGACUGGGAUCACUUCGGGACACCGGAGCUAAUACCGGCUAAUAACUUAAAAAGCCUGGUUACAUAGUGAAAGACGGUUUUGCUGUUACUUAUAGAUGGAUCCGCGCCGCAUUAGCUAGUUGGUAAGGUAACGGCCUACCAAGGAAACGAUGCGUAGCCGACCCGAGAGGGUGGACGGCCACAACGGAACCGGGGCACGGGCCAGACUCCUAAGGGAAGCAACAGGUGGGAAUUUUCCGCAAAUGGCGGAAGCCUUACGGAGCCACUCCGCGUUAUGUAUAAAGGUCUUCCGAUCUGAAAACUCUGUUAUUAGGGAAGAACAAAUUUGUAAGUAACUAGGCGCGUCUUGACGGUACCUAAUCAGAAAGCCACGGCUAACUACGUG